AGGACGAACGCUGGCGGCGUGCUUAACACAUGCAAGUCGAACGUCCUUGCGGUCUUCUUCUUCGGAGGAGGACCGCGAGGGAGUGGCGGACGGGUGAGUAACACAUGGGUACCUGCCUUUCAGUGAGGAAUACCGGCGAGAAAUCGCCGACAAGACCGCAUAGGCUUCCUUCGGUAGCCCGAGGGAAGCAAAGUUACUUCGCGAGAGGUGACGCUGGAAGAGGGGCCUGUGGCCGAUUAGCUAGUUGGGGGGGUAACGGCCUCCCAAGGCGACGAUCGGUAGCUGGUCUGAGAGGACGAUCAGCCACACUGGGAUUGAGAACGGCCCAGACUCCUACGGGGGGCAGCAGUGAGGAAUUUUCCGCAAUGGACGAAAGUCUGACGGAGCAACGCCGCGUGCAGGAGGAAGGUUUUCGGAUCGUAAACUGCUUUUCUCGGGGACGAGCAAGGACGGUACCCGAGGAAGAAGCCCCGGCUAACUACGCGCCAGCAGCCGCGGUAA
This 501-nucleotide ribosomal RNA is filed under the name uncultured bacterium. RNAcentral's name for it is "SSU rRNA". It matches the Rfam family "Bacterial small subunit ribosomal RNA", at positions 26 to 523 of the family's 1533-position model. The record is from RNAcentral.